RNAcentral lists this ribosomal RNA (202 nucleotides) under uncultured bacterium. Its description in RNAcentral is "partial 16S ribosomal RNA". It matches the Rfam family "Bacterial small subunit ribosomal RNA", at positions 1298 to 1500 of the family's 1533-position model. The record is from RNAcentral.
UUGCAGGCUGCAACCCGCCUGCAUGAAGUCGGAAUUGCUAGUAAUCGCGGAUCAGCAUGCCGCGGUGAAUACGUUCCCGGGCCUUGUACACACCGCCCGUCACACCAUGGGAGCCGGUAAUACCCGAAGUCAGUAGUCCAACCUCGUGAGGACGCUGCCGAAGGUAGGAUUGGCGACUGGGGUGAAGUCGUAACAAGGUAUC